GAUCAUGGCUCAGGACGAACGCUGGCGGCGUGCCUAAUACAUGCAAGUCGAACGAACUCUGGUAUUGAUUGGUGCUUGCAUCAUGAUUUACAUUUGAGUGAGUGGCGAACUGGUGAGUAACACGUGGGAAACCUGCCCAGAAGCGGGGGAUAACACCUGGAAACAGAUGCUAAUACCGCAUAACAACUUGGACCGCAUGGUCCGAGUUUGAAAGAUGGCUUCGGCUAUCACUUUUGGAUGGUCCCGCGGCGUAUUAGCUAGAUGGUGGGGUAACGGCUCACCAUGGCAAUGAUACGUAGCCGACCUGAGAGGGUAAUCGGCCACAUUGGGACUGAGACACGGCCCAAACUCCUACGGGAGGCAGCAGUAGGGAAUCUUCCACAAUGGACGAAAGUCUGAUGGAGCAACGCCGCGUGAGUGAAGAAGGGUUUCGGCUCGUAAAACUCUGUUGUUAAAGAAGAACAUAUCUGAGAGUAACUGUUCAGGUAUUGACGGUAUUUAACCAGAAAGCCACGGCUAACUACGUGCCAGCAGCCGCGGUAAUACGUAGGUGGCAAGCGUUGUCCGGAUUUAUUGGGCGUAAAGCGAGCGCAGGCGGUUUUUUAAGUCUGAUGUGAAAGCCUUCGGCUCAACCGAAGAAGUGCAUCGGAAACUGGGAAACUUGAGUGCAGAAGAGGACAGUGGAACUCCAUGUGUAGCGGUGAAAUGCGUAGAUAUAUGGAAGAACACCAGUGGCGAAGGCGGCUGUCUGGUCUGUAACUGACGCUGAGGCUCGAAAGUAUGGGUAGCAAACAGGAUUAGAUACCCUGGUAGUCCAUACCGUAAACGAUGAAUGCUAAGUGUUGGAGGGUUUCCGCCCUUCAGUGCUGCAGCUAACGCAUUAAGCAUUCCGCCUGGGGAGUACGGCCGCAAGGCUGAAACUCAAAGGAAUUGACGGGGGCCCGCACAAGCGGUGGAGCAUGUGGUUUAAUUCGAAGCUACGCGAAGAACCUUACCAGGUCUUGACAUACUAUGCAAAUCUAAGAGAUUAGACGUUCCCUUCGGGGACAUGGAUACAGGUGGUGCAUGGUUGUCGUCAGCUCGUGUCGUGAGAUGUUGGGUUAAGUCCCGCAACGAGCGCAACCCUUAUUAUCAGUUGCCAGCAUUAAGUUGGGCACUCUGGUGAGACUGCCGGUGACAAACCGGAGGAAGGUGGGGAUGACGUCAAAUCAUCAUGCCCCUUAUGACCUGGGCUACACACGUGCUACAAUGGAUGGUACAACGAGUUGCGAACUCGCGAGAGUAAGCUAAUCUCUUAAAGCCAUUCUCAGUUCGGAUUGUAGGCUGCAACUCGCCUACAUGAAGUCGGAAUCGCUAGUAAUCGCGGAUCAGCAUGCCGCGGUGAAUACGUUCCCGGGCCUUGUACACACCGCCCGUCACACCAUGAGAGUUUGUAACACCCAAAGUCGGUGGGGUAACCUUUUAGGAACCAGCCGCCUAAGGUGGGACAGAUGAUUAGGGUGAAGUCGUAACAAGGUAGCCGUAGGAGAACCUGCGGUUGGAUC
Molecule: ribosomal RNA, 1544 nt
Filed under: Lactiplantibacillus pentosus
Lineage: Bacteria; Bacillati; Bacillota; Bacilli; Lactobacillales; Lactobacillaceae
Description: Lactobacillus pentosus 16S ribosomal RNA
Rfam family: Bacterial small subunit ribosomal RNA
Source: RNAcentral